AGUGAACGCUGGCGGUAGGCCUAACACAUGCAAGUCGAACGGCAGCACAGUAAGAGCUUGCUCUUACGGGUGGCGAGUGGCGGACGGGUGAGGAAUACAUCGGAAUCUACUUUUUCGUGGGGGAUAACGUAGGGAAACUUACGCUAAUACCGCAUACGACCUACGGGUGAAAGCAGGGGAUCUUCGGACCUUGCGCGAUUGAAUGAGCCGAUGUCGGAUUAGCUAGUUGGCGGGGUAAAGGCCCACCAAGGCGACGAUCCGUAGCUGGUCUGAGAGGAUGAUCGGCCCACCUGGAACGGAGACACGGUCCAGACCCCUACGGGAGGCAGCAGGGGGGAAUAUUGGACAAUGGGCGCAAGCCUAACCAAGCCAUACCGGGUGGGUGAAGAAGGCCUUCGGGUUGUAAAGCCCUUUUUUUGGGAAAAAAAAGCAGCAGGUUAAUACCCCGCUGUUCUGACGGUACCCAAAAAAUAAGCACCGGCUAACUUCGU
RNAcentral lists this ribosomal RNA (491 nucleotides) under uncultured bacterium. Its description in RNAcentral is "partial 16S ribosomal RNA". It matches the Rfam family "Bacterial small subunit ribosomal RNA", at positions 29 to 506 of the family's 1533-position model. The record is from RNAcentral.